AACGUAGGAGACAAACGUUAUCCGGAGUUACUGGGCGUAAAGGGCGUGCAGGUGGUCUGUUAAGUCUGGCGUGAAAGCUCUCGGCUAAACCGGGAGAGGUCGUUGGAUACUGGCGGACUAGAGGACGGUAGAGGCGUGUGGAAUUCCGGGUGUAGUGGUGAAAUGCGUAGAGAUCCGGAGGAACACCAGUGGCGAAGGCGACACGCUGGGCCGUACCUGACACUAAGACGCGACAGCAUGGGGAGCGAAC
Molecule: ribosomal RNA, 250 nt
Filed under: uncultured bacterium
Lineage: Bacteria
Description: partial 16S ribosomal RNA
Rfam family: Bacterial small subunit ribosomal RNA
Source: RNAcentral